RNAcentral lists this unclassified non-coding RNA (231 nucleotides) under uncultured fungus. RNAcentral's name for it is "partial contains 5.8S rRNA and ITS2". The stretch from base 1 to 52 matches the Rfam family "5.8S ribosomal RNA", at positions 103 to 154 of the family's 154-position model. The record is from RNAcentral. Lineage: Eukaryota; Fungi.
AACGCACAUUGCGCCCUUUGGUAUUCCGAAGGGCAUGCCUGUUCGAGCGUCAUUGUACCCCUCAAGCAUUGCUUGGUAUUGGGCUUCGCCCCUGUGGCGGUCCUGGGAGACUUCAAGCGUAGCAACAUGUCACGAUCCCGCUUUGGAAGGUUCCUGCUGCGUGCCGGCCAGAUAACCACAAUUUCUUUCAAUGAUUGAACGCGGAUCAGGUAGGGAUACCGGCUGAACUUA